Molecule: ribosomal RNA, 624 nt
Filed under: Triticum aestivum (bread wheat)
Lineage: Eukaryota; Viridiplantae; Streptophyta; Magnoliopsida; Poales; Poaceae
Description: partial small subunit ribosomal RNA
Rfam family: Small nucleolar RNA Z247 (bases 478-616)
Source: RNAcentral
AUGGCAUCUUCCUCCAGCUCCACCGCAGCCCUAAACACCCAAGUCACACAGAAACUCACCCGCCAAAACUAUAUCCUAUGGCGUGCCCAAAUCCUUCCUCAAGUUCGCAGCGCCGGCCUCUAUGGUCUCCUCGACGGCACUGAUCCUGAGCCGGCCAAACUUGUUUCUGUCAAGGACAAGGACGGGAAGGACAGCACCAUCACCAAUCCUGAGCACGCGAUCUGGGUCAGGCAAGACCAGCUCGUGCUCGGCUAUCUUCUGAACAAUCUGAUGAAAGAAGUGCUCGUACAGGUAGUACCAAUCCCCACCUCGCGCACUCUCUGGACUUACCUGGAAAACAUGUUCUCUUCAACCUCCCGCAGCCGCAUCAACAAUCUUCGGAUGUCCCUCACUAACACGCAGAAGGGAUCACAAGAUGUCGCCACCUACUUCACCUACAUGCAGUCGCUAGCUGAUGAGUUGGCAGCCGCUGGCAGACCGCUCGACGAUGAUGAACUCAUCUCCCACAUCCUCUCUGGGCUGGAUCUUGACUAUCAGCCGCUGAUCUCCGCCCUGGACGUCCGCACCGAGCCACUCUCCAUCGACCAUCUGUUUGCCCUGAUGUCCAACUUUGAUCAAAGGGUC